UAUCUGCAAAGGAGAGAGAGAAGGAGAGAGUCAGAAGGGAAGAGAGAGAGAGAGGGAGAGACAGACUGAUAGACAGAGCGCAAAUCGCAAGAGGUGAAAUAUGUGGUUGGUUCCAUUUUCUUCUCAGUUUUCAAGUCACCAUGAAAGGACGAUUCAGUCGCUUUGCAACAAAACGGAACAGAAUGUAAAUAUGUUUUGCUGUGUAUUACAUUUUUCGAUGGAUUUUUACCUGAGAGAGGUAUUUUGCGCAAUUGGUGCAAAUGUCUCAUCACCAUUAUACUCUGGAGCUGUUGUGAAUGUUAAAGGAUUUGAGGUGAAAAUGGAUUCUCCGAAACGAGCUCAUGUCAUGGAGUGAAAAAUUUGCUCCAUCACAUGACAGACGGACGACGUGUGUCGGUGGCUCAAAGACACUCAUCAUGCGGUGUGCAGGGCAGAUGAUGUUUUACAGCAGAAAACCGUCCACGUCUCAACACAACACAGCAAACUGCAAGAGGAGACUGGUAAUGAAAAGAUCAAAUCCUGUGUAGCUAUUGGGACUUUUUAAGGAAGUGUACACCCUUGAGGCUAAUGCAGCUCAAACAAUAACUAUAUUAAUGAAGACUAACAUACAACAAUGAAGUGUCUUCUGGAGUUCUUCUGUGUUUGUGAGUACUAAAACAAGCAAAACACCCCCUCUCCUAACAGCUCAUGGCCAGACAACUGCCUCCCUGCCCAGCUAUGGCUCCCCCUAGCCGUGCCUCCAUAUUUCCUUGUUAAUGCACACCAUAAUGCCCUGAACCCUCCCUGCUCUAUCACACUGUAAAGACACCAAAAUACACCUGAAAACCGCAAUUUUUCAGCCUAAAUGUGGAGUAUACAGUCUCCAUGUGCCUCCCAGCCAACAUUGGGCACCAUUGGCCACAGCAGAAGAGACAAUUUCUUACCUCUUGAUAGUGGCUGUGCCUAUGCCUUCCCCUCCAAAGUCCCAACCUCCGUCUUCUUCCCAGCAAUCCCUGCAAAAAAGGACACUUCCAUGUAUGUUGAAUAUGUAGGGGUGAUCAAAUUCGACUAAACCAUUUCUAAAAAGCCCAGAGAACCCCUAAAACCCAGAAAUGGCCCUUUUGGCCCCAAAUACAUAUAAGCUCCAAAAUGCCAUUUUAAAAUGUCAUAUCAGUGGCCUUAAACAGCAAAGCCCACUCCUCAAAUACACCAUGUCCUACCCCUAUGGUUUCAACUUAUUCUGGUCCAUCCAGUAGUCGUACAGUUGAUACAGAAGAGCAAUUGUCAGUAAGUGCGCAGCUGAACUCCUAGGCGCUUUCUGCAGCCUUUUGUGCGUUUGCCAAGUCCUGGAGCAUCUUUGAGAGGCUACAAAUAGUCCAUUGGUGGUAUUUAUGAGUCAAAGAGACCAUUUUCAUGUGGACUGGACAAAAGAAACUGGAAGGAAAAUAUUUUCAUGUGCGUAGAAACCAACCACGCAAAAAGAGAGCUAUGGAUCCAAAUGGACCUCUCCAAAAGAGCAGGUGAAUCCAAAGGCACAGAGCUCUCUCCAAAGGCUCCAGGAGAAAAACAGAGACGUGUAUCCAGCUUAAAAGGUAAUUAUUAUAAUAAUUCGGUUUAAAUUUUACCAAGUGUACUCAAAAAUUUAAAGCUACACUUAAAGAAUGUCGAAUUUAAAGUCCAUUUGAAAGCAAAGUGCACCGAGGAGAAUUUACAUUGGCACUGCAGACAGUAAAGUUAUUUAUUUAACGUGUUUAACUAUAUUAUUUACUUAAAUAUAUAGUUACUAAUACGGACAGCACUGUAGCACAGCUCACAAAUUAAAAUGACCGUCUCUCUGACCAACAGUAGCUAUGAAGCAGGCAAAAACCUGAGCUGUAAACGCACCCAGACAGUGCGCCAAAGUAGACCUGCUACGAGCCAUAGUCUGGUCCUUUAUCCAGGUUUGAAUAAGCUUAAAUUCAGACCUGCAGUACAAAGAAAUCAUUAUACGAAAAACCAUACAGACAAAUCCAAUGGAUUAUUAGAUGGGGGAAUGACUGCGCCGGCGGUUGAAGCUGUUUUCACCGAAAAAAAACCGUUAUGCAAAUUAUGAUGGCAGCUGCCAGCAAAGGGUUGAAGGACAGUCCUGUUCCCUUCAAAGCCUAUAGCUGAUGCAUAUGUUUACGUCGUAUAUUACGACAACACAUACUUACAGAUAGGAUGGGCGUUUGCCUCCCUGCGUGUCCAGACCUGAGCCUCCAGCAGGUUUGAGACCCCGCAUCCCCUCUCUGAGACACCAAGCCUCAGGCAAUAGCAACACAAGAUAAGCCCUGUUCUCCCUGUAGUGAAAACUGAAGAGAAAAUAGAAAUAAAAAGACUUGUGUCUGUUAGAAAUGACAAAGUCUUCGUUAUCUGCCCAGAAACGACUGUCCACAUCAACGCUGAGAGCUUAUUGUUGGUAAAAACAGGCGCAUGUGUAGCCUUUAUUCAGCACCAAAGCACAGCCGGAGCUCCAGCCGGACGCACGCCUGUCCUCACUGUGCAUUUGCCGCAGCAGCUGUCAAACAGAUCACAUUUCAGACUGAAGUCACAGUGCGAUGAAUACUCACAGGUCCUAUAUGAUACUGUAAUAACCACACUUGUGCAAGAUCAGCUGUGCGUCGGGCGGCGGUCAGAAUGCGUAAUAUUUAGGCUCCAGGGUGACAAACAGGCGCUGUUGCAAGACGUUCUUGUUUUUUUUAGGAGGAGCGCGCUGCUGACGGUUUGAAAGCCACAAUACUGAAGUCCGGAGGCAGUGACUAUAAACUGAACAAGAGGCACAGAACCGUGGGCACAAAUCAGCCAAAAUAUAUCAAAGACUCCCUGUUAUCAUGAAUAUUUCUUAUGGGAUUACCUAUUUAUCUUAUUCCACAAUUAGGCCUUCACGAUGCUUUUUUUUUAUAUCACUUGAGCGCAUAUGCUGUAUUGUCUAAUGUGACACCAAAUAAGCGUGUCUGAUUUCAUUCAACGUGUGACUAUUUUGAAAUAAAAUACAAAAAAAUACA
Molecule: long non-coding RNA, 3002 nt
Organism: Siniperca chuatsi (mandarin fish)
Lineage: Eukaryota; Metazoa; Chordata; Actinopteri; Centrarchiformes; Sinipercidae
Exons: 4
Source: RefSeq, a predicted model, not a curated record